RNAcentral lists this ribosomal RNA (497 nucleotides) under uncultured bacterium. RNAcentral describes it as "partial 16S ribosomal RNA". It matches the Rfam family "Bacterial small subunit ribosomal RNA", at positions 28 to 507 of the family's 1533-position model. The record is from RNAcentral.
GAUGAACGCUGGCGGCGUGCCUAAUACAUGCAAGUCGAGCGAACAGACGAGGAGCUUGCUCCUUCGACGUUAGCGGCGGACGGGUGAGUAACACGUAGGUAACCUACUUAUAAGACUGGGAUAACUUCGGGAAACCGGAGCUAAUACCGGAUCAUAUUUCGAACCGCUUGGUUCGAUAGUGAAAGAUGGCUUUGCUAUCACUUAUAGAUGGACCUGCGCCGUAUUAGCUAGUUGGUAAGGUAACGGCUUACCAAGGCAACGAUACGUAGCCGACCUGAGAGGGUGAUCGGCCACACUGGAACUGAGACACGGUCCAGACUCCUACGGGAGGCAGCAGUAGGGAAUCUUCCGCAAUGGGCGAAAGCCUGACGGAGCAACGCCGCGUGAGUGAUGAAGGUCUUCGGAUCGUAAAACUCUGUUAUUAGGGAAGAACAGACGUGGAAGUAAAUGUGCACGUCUUGACGGUACCUAAUCAGAAAGCCACGGCUAACUACGUG